UUGCAUCCACUGAUAGACCUGAAGCAGUCUUCAUUGGCUUCUGUGUUUGCAUAGAGAUGCUAAACUGAACUUUCCUUGCGCUUUCUGACUGCUACAUUAUAUAGCAGCGCAGAUUGAAUUGAGGAAUACAUGC
Molecule: small nucleolar RNA, 133 nt
Organism: Dicentrarchus labrax (European seabass)
Lineage: Eukaryota; Metazoa; Chordata; Actinopteri; Moronidae
Source: Ensembl